AGAGGAGCUUGCUCUUCUUGGAUGAGUUGCGAACCCNNUUGAGUAACGCGUAGGUAACCUGCCUGGUAGCGGGGGAUAACUAUUGGAAACGAUAGCUAAUACCGCAUAAAAUUGAUUAUUGCAUGAUAAUUAAUUGAAAGAUGCAAUUGCAUCACUACCAGAUGGACCUGCGUUGUAUUAGCUAGUUGGUGAGGUAACGGCUCACCAAGGCGACGAUACAUAGCCGACCUGAGAGGGUGAUCGGCCACACUGGGACUGAGACACGGCCCAGACUCCUACGGGAGGCAGCAGUAGGGAAUCUUCGGCAAUGGGGGGAAUCCUGACCGAGCCACGCCGNGUGAGUGAAGAAGGUUUUCGGAUCGUAAGGCUCUGUUGUAAGAGAAGAACGGGUGUGAGAGUGGAAAGUUCACACUGUGUCNGUAUCUUACCANAAAGGGACGGCUAACUACGUGCCAGCANCCGCGGUAAUACGUAGGUCCCGAGCGUUNUCCGGAUUUAUUGGGCGUAAAGCGAGCGCANGCCGGUUAAGAUAAA
RNAcentral lists this ribosomal RNA (534 nucleotides) under uncultured bacterium. RNAcentral's name for it is "bacterial SSU rRNA". It matches the Rfam family "Bacterial small subunit ribosomal RNA", at positions 72 to 589 of the family's 1533-position model. The record is from RNAcentral.